UUCCGGUUGAUCCUGCCGGACCCGACUGCUAUUUGGGUGAGGAUAAGCCAUGCGAGUUGGAUGGGAUACCUAAAUUUCCCAUGGCAAACUGCUCAGUAACACAUGAUCAACUUACCCUAUGGAGAAAAAUACCCUCGGGAAACUGAGGAUAAUAUUUCAUAGUUGAAAAGGCUUGGAAAAGUUUUUCAAUGAAAGGGAUAAGAAAAAUGGUUCUUAUCUGCUAUAGGAUAGGAUCGUGGUCGAUUAUGGUUGUUGGUGAGGUAACGGCUCACCAAGCCGAUAAUCGAUAGGGGCCGUGAGAGCGGGAGCCCCGAGAUGGGUACUGAGACAACGACCCAGGCCUUACGAGGCGCAGCAGGCGCGAAACCUCCGCAAUACACGAAAGUGUGACGGGGUUACCCAAAGUGUUCAUUUAUGAACUGUGGUAGGUGAGUAAUAUCCCCUACUAGAAAGGAGAGGGCAAGGCUGGUGCCAGCCGCCGCGGUAAAACCAGCUCUUCAAGUAGUCGGGAUAAUUAUUGGGCUUAAAGUGUCCGUAGCCGGUUUAGUAAGUUCCUGGUAAAAUCGGGUAGCUUAACUAUCCGCAUGCUAGGAAUACUGCUAUACUAGAGGGCGGGAGAGGUCUGAGGUACUACAGGGGUAGGGGUGAAAUCUUAUAAUCCUUGUAGGACCACCAGCGGCGAAAGCGUCAGACUGGAACGCGCCUGACGGUGAGGGACGAAAGCCAGGGGAGCGAACCGGAUUAGAUACCCGGGUAGUCCUGGCCGUAAACGAUGCAUACUAGUGAUGGCACGGGCAUGAGCCGUGUCAGUGCCGUAGGGAAACCGUUAAGUGUGCCGCCUGGGAAGUACCGUCGCAAGGCUAAACUUAAAGGAAUUGCGGGGAGCACACAAGGGUGAAGCCUGCGUUCAAUUGGACUCAACGGCGAAA
Molecule: ribosomal RNA, 929 nt
Filed under: uncultured archaeon
Lineage: Archaea
Description: bacterial SSU rRNA
Rfam family: Archaeal small subunit ribosomal RNA
Source: RNAcentral